GUGUCAGCCGCCGCGGUAAUACAGAGGGUGCGAGCGUUAAUCGGAAUUACUGGGCGUAAAGCGAGCGUAGGUGGCUUAAUAAGUCAGAUGUGAAACCCCCGGGCUUAACCUGGGAACUGCAUCUGAAACUGUUCGGCUAGAGUAGGUGAGAGGGAAGUAGAAUUCCAGGUGUAGCGGUGAAAUGCGUAGAGAUCUGGAGGAAUACCGAUGGCGAAGGCAGCUUCCUGGCAUCAUACUGACACUGAGGUUCGAAAGCGUGGGUAGCAAACAGGAUUAGAAACCCCCGUAGUCC
RNAcentral lists this ribosomal RNA (292 nucleotides) under uncultured prokaryote. RNAcentral describes it as "partial 16S ribosomal RNA". It matches the Rfam family "Bacterial small subunit ribosomal RNA", at positions 505 to 796 of the family's 1533-position model. The record is from RNAcentral.